GGUACUAAUAUUCUUUUCUCUUUGUCAAUUAUCUUUGAUUAAAUUGUUCUAUCUUGUUCCCUAUUUGGGGGUUUUUAGUUUAUAAUGCGCUAAUGUUUCGGUUGGAAUGUCGUCGUUAGAUUUCCUUAUGGUGUUGGACACUGGAAGCGAUUUGUUUUGAUUACCGUGUAAAUGUUCUAGUUGUUUUACCCAUUUAAACACAUCAAAUGAAGGAAAUGUAUUUAAACGGACGAUGCAAAUCUUGAAGUUGAUGUUCUCUCCAAUGAAAUCAACUGGUUGAUUCUUGUUUUGAUUAACUUUCUACAAUAUGUUUUGUUUAUCUUUCUACAGUUUGUUUUCUUUUUUUUUUUGUCAAUUUCCUCCUUAUCUUUUUGUUAUUUUCUUAGUCUAAUUAUUGAAAAAAAGAAUCAAGGAGAAAGAGAAAGUGCAAAAUUUGGGGCUUUGCUUUGCUUUGGGUUCCCUUCCAAUCUCUGCUUUGGUCAAAGAUAUUUACUUGUGUUUAUUGUUGCCAUGGUAAUGUUGUUUGAACUUUAUGAAUAAACCAUGUUUAUAAGAAAUUAUUCCUCUUAUUAGGCCUAUGUUGUUUUCAUGAAUAUCCUUUGUUUAAUCAUAGUUGCAUUGUGUAAUUUGGCUUUUUACAUUUUUGCCAUUGAUUUUUAUUUAUAAAGAGAGUAAACGAGAGUAAGCAUGGUUGUGGCGGAAAUGUGAAAAUAUUCCAACUCCUCAGCUUGUUCAUGGUAUGUUUUUUCUUUUCUUCUUUGAUUUUAAUUCUUACGACCAAAUGAAGAUUAGUUUUUUUUUUUUUUUUGUUUCUUAUUUCUCGUUUGUGUUCUUAAUUUUUUUUAUGUGUUGAAUUUAUUGAGUUUGAAUAAUAUAUAGAGGAUAAGAUUAGAAGGAGUAUGAUGAAGAAUUUGCAAGAGAAAUGUUGGUUGGAGUUAACCCAGUAGUCAUUGCUCGUUAUUCAAGAUGCAAAGAUUAUUGUUACUAAAUGUAAGUUUGUUGUUCUUUGUGUGUUUGGUGGAGGGUUGGGUGUGAAAUAUUAAUGAUUUGGACUUGUUUUAGUGUCUUACAAUUGUUUGAAUAAUACUAUUAGGUUUUUAGUUUCUAGCUAUAAUUUAGUUUUAAUUUUUAUGUUGUUUCUUUUGAAUGAUAAGUUUUAUAUAUGUGUUAGAAUCUUUUGACAAAAUUCAAUACAUCAAACUCCAUUCAAGUGGUUCAUUGUCUGCCAAGUAUUAAAGAAAUUGUCCAACGGUUGACGAGCCACAAAUUUAUAAUGUUUAGAUUGUCUUAUAUUAGCUCCCUAAUUUAUAAUGUCAUUUUCAGUUAAGCAAGUUGCUAUGAGUAAAAAUAGACAUUUCUCUCCAAUGUUGUACUUGUUUUUAUCUUUGGUAAAUUAUUGAUAAUCACAUGGCACAAUAAUUGAACCAUUACGAGGGAGACGUCAAAUAACUAUUUCUCUUUGCAUCCUCUAGUAGAUUUUGGAUUUUUCCCUUCCACUGUAAUGGAAUUGGACCGAGAAAAGUUAACGUGUUCUAGUUAUUUCAAGGUGUUGGCACUUACGUGUAUAGAAUUGGUGAUGAGCGAGUAAUUGAUGCUACAAGGGUUGGUGAGAAAUGGUCAAAGAACUAUUUCGAUUCAUUCAGUGGAGGCUUCUUGUUUGAGGUGAGAAUUUAUCUAUUUCUUUUGCGGUUUAGCUUAUUUAUCUAUCCAGGUGAGAAAUGCAUGUAUGUGGAAAAAUGCUGAGUUGUCUAUGUUGAGUACUUAGUGAUUCUUGAUGUUAUAUUGCCUCAUGAUGUCUUGGAUUGUUGGGUCAGAGUUUGUUUGAUAGAUAAUAAGAUUCUUAGGAUUAAAUGUGAUAAUAGUGGAUGGUAAAGAAGCAAGACUCGUCUGUUUAAGAGAAGUGAAGAUAAUAUGUAAUUGGUCAUUUGGAUUACAUCUUGUGAACUCUCUCGUAUCAUUUCUUAGUUGUAGUAGAAAAAUGAUUUGAUAAUUUCUAUGAAAACUUAAAAGUGUUGUAAAAGGGUGCUUCUAGUUUUGAACUUAAUUGAAGUAUGAAUGUUCUUAGCCUUCAAGGUGGAUAGACUUAUGGAAUAGGUUGAAGGAAAUACCUGAAUGUUACAUCCUUUCAGGCCGCCUUUGUGAAGAAUAAAUAGGUACUAAGGCACAUGAUCUUAUUGAUUUAAAUUCAUUAUGGAUGUCGUUUGAGUAGUUGAUGGGUAGGACCUUUGUGGUGUGUUCUAGGAUUUAAUUUUUUGAGUAAAUGUUGUAACUAUAUUCAGUGCUUGCUGAAUGGAUCGAGUGGAAUAACUCUUGUGACUACCACAACAUUUGGGAACUCACCAAAUGUAAGACUAUUCCUUUAUCCUAACAUUUGAUCUCUCUAUAAUUUGGUUUUCUAUCGUAAGUUUGAUUAAAAUAAAUGCUGAUAAUUCAACUUCAGUGUUCUUAUUUUCUUAAUCCUCAUUCAGUCAGUUAGAAUCAGAACUCAUUUAUUUAUCUUGUCUCCAGAAUUUGGAUUCAAAUAUUCAUCACAAUAAUCUUCUCAACAACAUUCUUGAAAAGGUCGUGGAAUCCAAGUUUGUAUUUGAAGCCAAAUUAAUCCAAGAUCAUUGAGUUUCAAACCUUCUUUAGUUAAGAUUUUGUUUCUUGAACUAGAAUUGUAGUCAUGUGAUUUUUGGAAUAGCAUAGUUGGAUUGGUUUUGUAAUUUUGGGAUUAUCAUAUUAGGUUGGGAUUGAGUGAAGUAUUGUUUUGUAUAUGACAAUAUCGAACAAAUAUGUAAAGUUUUCGAAAUGUUCAUACAUAUAUGGUUAAAUGUUAAUAUGUGUUAAAGUUU
This is a long non-coding RNA of Cucumis sativus (cucumber), 2834 nucleotides long. RefSeq lists it as uncharacterized. NCBI's taxonomy places the organism in Eukaryota, Viridiplantae, Streptophyta, Magnoliopsida, Cucurbitales, Cucurbitaceae. The transcript has 2 exons. The record is from RefSeq and is a predicted model, not a curated record.